This 449-nucleotide ribosomal RNA is filed under the name uncultured bacterium. RNAcentral's name for it is "bacterial SSU rRNA". It matches the Rfam family "Bacterial small subunit ribosomal RNA", at positions 354 to 796 of the family's 1533-position model. The record is from RNAcentral.
GUCGAGAAUCUUCCGCAAUGGGCGCAAGCCUGACGGAGCGACGCCGCGUGGAGGACGAAGGCCUUCGGGUUGUAAACUCCUGUCACGGGUCAUGAAUGCCAUGGUGUGAACAGCAUCAUGGUUGACGCAAGCCCGAGAGGAAGCACUGGCUAACUCUGUGCCAGCAGCCGCGGUAAUACAGAGAGUGCGAACGUUGUUCGGAAUUACUGGGCUUAAAGCGCACGUAGGCGGCGCCGCAAGUGUGGGGUGAAAGCCCACGGCUUACCCGUGGAAUUGCCUGGCAGACUGCGGUGCUAGAGGAUGGUAGGGGAGAGCGGAACUCCUGGUGGAGCGGUGAAAUGCGUAGAUAUCAGGAGGAACACCGGUGGCGAAGGCGGCUCUCUAGUCCAUUUCUGACGCUGAGGUGCGAAAGCCAGGGGAGCAAACGGGAUUAGAAACCCCUGUAGUCC